RNAcentral lists this long non-coding RNA (217 nucleotides) under Elaeis guineensis (African oil palm). RNAcentral describes it as "long non-coding RNA (EGUI_LNC019902)". Lineage: Eukaryota; Viridiplantae; Streptophyta; Magnoliopsida; Arecales; Arecaceae. The record is from RNAcentral.
AGCGGAAUAGGAAUCAAAUUUUUAAAAUUUAGACUCAAAUCCUCACGUAGGCCUAGAUCUGUAGGCUCUUUACUUCGCAUGCACGCCAAGCUCUGCAGGAAAGUAGGAUGAAGCCUCAGAUUGAAGCACAUUCGCAAGGCUACUAAGAGAAAAAAGAGAGCUGCUGGGGUGAUACCUCACACCAACAAGGAGGACACCUAAGAGAGGGGCCACGGCA